GCGCCUGUAGCUCAGUGGAUAGAGCACUGGCCUCCGGAGCCAGGAGCGCAGGUUCGAUCCCUGCCAGGCGUACCA
This 75-nucleotide transfer RNA is filed under the name Peptococcaceae bacterium. Its description in RNAcentral is "tRNA-Arg". It matches the Rfam family "tRNA". Rfam says of the family: Transfer RNA (tRNA) molecules are approximately 80 nucleotides in length. Their secondary structure includes four short double-helical elements and three loops (D, anti-codon, and T loops). Lineage: Bacteria; Bacillati; Bacillota; Clostridia; Eubacteriales; Peptococcaceae. The record is from RNAcentral.